Papaver somniferum (opium poppy) is the source of this 1454-nucleotide long non-coding RNA. RefSeq lists it as uncharacterized. Lineage: Eukaryota; Viridiplantae; Streptophyta; Magnoliopsida; Ranunculales; Papaveraceae. The transcript is spliced from 2 exons. The record is from RefSeq and is a predicted model, not a curated record.
UCUUAUCUUUUCUCUCUCCUCUUCUCCGUUCUUCUUCCCCUGUUCUUCUUCUGUUCGAGUUUUGAGUGAUGAAAUCGUGUUUGAGAAUCAAGGGAAGACGAUACAAAUCGAUCAAUGAGUGUUAAUGGUGAUGUUUGUUAUAAUAGAUAAUUUAGAUUCAAUGAAGUGGUGAAACAGAGAAUCAGAAUUAGGGUUUUUGGAUUUAGUUUUGAGGUUUGUGGAAUUGAGCAGUGUAUUGAGUUGCUGACAGAUGAAGGUUAAGAGGGUUGAUGAUUAAUUGGAUUUAUGAAGUCUUUUUAGUGCUUGAAUCAAGAACUAGAGUUUCAUAAGAAAUUCAUAGAAGAACCAGUAGAUGAAGUUGUUUCUUUAGGGGUUUGAUUUAAUGAAUUAGGGUUUGUAUGAAGAGUAAUUAGAAAUUGAAGAAGUCGGGGUUCUGAAGCUGAGAUCUAUUGAAGCUCAUGGAUGAAUCCGUUAACAGAGUAAGGGUUUGAUUGUGUUAGUGAAAAGGUGAUGAAGCUGUUUUUGGGGUGAAACUGAAUUAAGGUAAUCAUCUUCUCAUUUGAAUUAUCAUGUGUUGUUGAGGUUUAUGUUGUGCUGAACUUUAAGAAUGAUAUGUAUUAGAAUUUUGCAGGGGUUGAGCUUUAUGAAUUUAAAUGGAUAUGUUGGGUAUGUGCUUGAGCUGUAUAUUAGUUUGGUUUGUGCUAAAUCACAUGGAGAAGUAAAGUGGAAGCAAUGGUGAAGUGUUUGUGUAGAUGGUAGUAUUGAACUGGAGCUGAAUUCAAGAGCUGGUGGAUAUUGAAAUGGUUUUUCAGAUGAUUGUGUUUGUUAAGAAAGAGAAGUGGAGAUGAUGUUGAACUAGUUGAAUGAUUGUUAAGUUGCAGGGAAGAUUUGCGCCAGUAAUGAUAUGGGUUUGAUCAGAUUAUGGAUGAGAAUGAAGGUUCUGGGAUAAAAAUAUUGUUGUGUCUAAUGGAGCUGGUGGAGAAGGGUUUGAGUUAUGUCAGUAGGGUAAUGGGUUUACUUAUUAUUGUGAAAGUUUGGUGGUGAUGCUGUCAAGAUAUGGGAGAUGGAUUAUGAGUUUUGUACUUGAUCUAAACUGAGGUUGUUGAUUGAUGCAGUGAGUGUUUGAAGAUAUUGCAGAUGGACAGUGUUGUCUGAGUUGAAGCUUAGAUGUAAGAAUAACAGGAUUUGUGAAUUGUUACAGGCAUAGUGACUUAGGAGAAAAAGAGUAGUUGUAUUGUUAUUUAGCAGUGGCCUUAAUGGAAGCCUGCAACUGCAAAUCAAGUUUCAGAGACAGAUCAGAGUUGCGUAGCGAAAGCUUCGAGGAGUUGAGUUUAUUAGUUUGAUUAACUUCGGCUAUGUUAUUAUAUUCUAUGUUUUAUUUGUAAACCAAAUGACUAUUGUAUAUGUAUCAUUUGAGAGAAGUUCUUGUAUAUAUAUCAUUUUGAGCGGGGCUA